GAUGAACGCUGGCGGCGUGCCUAAUACAUGCAAGUCGAGCGAACGGACGAGAAGCUUGCUUCUCUGAUGUUAGCGGCGGACGGGUGAGUAACACGUGGAUACCCUACCUAUCAGACUGGGAUAACUUCGGGACACCGGCGCUAAUACCGGAUAAUAUUUUGAACCGCAUGGUUCAAAAGUGAAAGACGGUCUUGCUGUCUCUUAUAGAUGGAUCCGGGCUGCAUUAGCUAGUUGGUAAGGUAACGGCUUACCAAGGCAACGAUGCAUAGCCGACCUGAGAGGGUGAUCGGCCACACUGGAACUGAGACACGGUCCAGGCUCCUACGAGAGGCAGCAGUCGGGUAUCUGCCGCAGUGGGCGAAAGCCUUACGGAGCAACGCCGCGUGAGAGAUGGAGGUCUUCGGAUCGUAAAACUCUGUUAUUAGGGAAGAACAUAUGUGUAAGUAACUGUGCACAGCGUGACGGUACCUAAUCAGAAAGCCACGGCUAACUACGUG
This 497-nucleotide ribosomal RNA is filed under the name uncultured bacterium. RNAcentral describes it as "partial 16S ribosomal RNA". It matches the Rfam family "Bacterial small subunit ribosomal RNA", at positions 28 to 507 of the family's 1533-position model. The record is from RNAcentral.